UAGCAUAUCAAUAAGCGGAGGAAAAGAAACUAACAAGGAUUCCCCUAGUAACUGCGAGUGAAGCGGGAAAAGCUCAAAUUUAAAAUCUGGCGGUCUUUGGCCGUCCGAGUUGUAAUCUAGAGAAGUAAUGCCCGUGCUGGACCGUGUAUAAGUCUCCUGGGAUGGGGCGUCAUAGAGGGUGAGAAUCCCGUCUUUGACACGGACUACCAGUGCAUUGUGGUAUGCUCUCAAAGAGUCGAGUUGUUUGGGAAUGCAGCUCAAAAUGGGUGGUAAAUUCCAUCUAAAGCUAAAUAUUGGCGAGAGACCGAUAGCGAACAAGUACCGUGAGGGAAAGAUGAAAAGAACUUUGGAAAGAGAGUUAAACAGUACGUGAAAUUGCUGAAAGGGAAACGCUUGAAGUCAGUCGCGUUGGCCGGGAAUCAGCCUUGCUUUUUGCAUGGUGUACUUUCUGGUUGACGGGUCAGCAUCAAUUUUGAUCACUGGAAAAGGCUCAGGGGAAUGUGGCAGCUUCGGCUGUGUUAUAGCCCUUGUUCACAUACAGUGGUUGGGAUUGAGGAACUCAGCACGCCGCAAGGCCGGGUUUCGACCACGUUCGUGCUUAGGAUGCUGGCAUAAUGGCUUUAAGCGACCCGUCUUGAAACACGGACCAAGGAGUCUAACAUGCCUGCGAGUAUUUGGGUGGAAAACCCAGGUGCGCAAUGAAAGUGAAAGUUGAGAUCCCUGUCGUGGGGGAGCAUCGACGCCCGGACCAGAACUUUUGGGACGGAUCCGCGGUGGAGCAUGUAUGUUGGGACCCGAAAGAUGGUGAACUAUGCCUGAAUAGGGUGAAGCCAGAGGAAACUCUGGUGGAGGCUCGUAGCGAUUCUGACGUGCAAAUCGAUCGUCAAAUUUGGGUAUAGGGGCGAAAGACUAAUCGAACCAUCUAGUAGCUGGUCCUGCGGUU
Molecule: ribosomal RNA, 943 nt
Filed under: Agaricus sp.
Lineage: Eukaryota; Fungi; Basidiomycota; Agaricomycetes; Agaricales; Agaricaceae
Description: partial large subunit ribosomal RNA
Rfam family: Eukaryotic large subunit ribosomal RNA
Source: RNAcentral